This 607-nucleotide ribosomal RNA is filed under the name uncultured bacterium. RNAcentral describes it as "bacterial SSU rRNA". It matches the Rfam family "Bacterial small subunit ribosomal RNA", at positions 338 to 951 of the family's 1533-position model. The record is from RNAcentral.
CCUACGGGAGGCAGCAGUGAGGAAUAUUGGACAAUGGGCGCAAGCCUGAUCCAGCCAUGCCGCGUGCAGGAAGAAGCAUCUAUGGUGUGUAAACUGCUUUUAUACAGGAAGAAACACUCCCUCGUGAGGGAGCUUGACGGUACUGUAAGAAUAAGGACCGGCUAACUCCGUGCCAGCAGCCGCGGUAAUACGGAGGGUCCAAGCGUUAUCCGGAAUCAUUGGGUUUAAAGGGUCCGUAGGCGGUUUAAUAAGUCAGUGGUGAAAUCUGGUCGCUCAACGAUCAAACGGCCAUUGAUACUGUUAGACUUGAAUUAUUGUGAAGUAACUAGAAUAUGUAGUGUAGCGGUGAAAUGCUUAGAUAUUACAUGGAAUACCAAUUGCGAAGGCAGGUUACUAACAAUAUAUUGACGCUGAUGGACGAAAGCGUGGGGAGCGAACAGGAUUAGAUACCCUGGUAGUCCACGCCGUAAACGAUGGAUACUAGCUGUUCGGAGCAAUCUGAGUGGCUAAGCGAAAGUGAUAAGUAUCCACCUGGGGAGUACGUUCGCAAGAUGAAACUNAAAUGAAUUGACCGGNUGAGAGAGCGAGACGACGACGAGGGAGGAGG